Molecule: long non-coding RNA, 659 nt
Organism: Chinchilla lanigera (long-tailed chinchilla)
Lineage: Eukaryota; Metazoa; Chordata; Mammalia; Rodentia; Chinchillidae
Exons: 3
Source: RefSeq, a predicted model, not a curated record
GGAAAGGGAAAAGAAGCAUCACUAUUCCAAAAAGAAUCUUCUGGAUGAAUCAUCAUAUACCAAAAGUAAUUGAAGAGGGAUACAAAGAUAUACAUAGAAAGUGCCCUGCAGCACUCUUUCUAAGACGGAGCCAACCACAGGUUAAUCGGAGGAGAUGAUUUAAGCACACUAUGCUUCACCCGUGUAAACCAGCACUCUACUGGAAUUAUAAGUGAUGGUGUAAAAGUCUAUGGACAUGGCACAAGGUCGGCAUUUCCUCAGCCAUCUGAAAAAAACAGCAAUCUUUUUUAAAGUAGGAAGGAGAGGAGGAGGAGCAGCCAUCAGGGAGCACCGGAAGCCGGCGCCCAGGAAGCUCUGGUCACACAAGGUGCCGGCACCUGUCCCGCAGAGGCUUCUGUGUGGCCACCGAAUCCCGCUGACUGCUACACUUUAGUGACACACGUUACUGAAGAAGAGAAAGGGAACCAGCUGCAGCAAAAUUCAUCAUUUGUCUAUAUUAUCUUUACGGCUGGGGCCCGCCCGAAGGUGCUUCUGAGAGCAAAUAUUAUCCUUUCUACACUUAAAAUGCAUCUAGAAAAUGCAGCAACUGUGCCUUCUUCCACCUUGGCUCUGUCAGUGCCUCCAUUUUCUCAUUUUCUAAAUAAAAUGUACAACUAUUA